CUCCUCGUUGUCUGCAAUGCCGCGCGACUCUCCGUCCGUCUGUAUACGGUCUCUCCGUCGCACGUCGUCUCUUCGCAAAGCUACUGCUCGACUUCUUCCGCGAAUAACAUCUGCCGUGAACCGAACUAAAGACCCCAGAUCCAACUUUCUACGCGUCGAGUUCCUUCUUCGUCCUGCCACAGGAUUGGGUCGUUAGCUGUCGUUCCUGCUUUGCCACGAGUCAUUAAAUUCUGAUUGGUUGAAGGUAACGUUCGAAUUCCUUGGGUUCGCAGCAAACAAUUGAUUCUAGUUAGAACUAGUUUCGCGAAGAUUUGGGUUCGUUCUUCGUAGACUUCAACGUGGUUAAGGAGCUUAACUAACUUGAAAGUAAAGGUAAUAAAGGUGGCAAACCGGCGAGGGGCAGGAAGGAAGCGUGAUUGCCA
Long non-coding RNA from Cucumis sativus (cucumber), 422 nucleotides. RefSeq lists it as uncharacterized. The record is from RefSeq and is a predicted model, not a curated record. NCBI's taxonomy places the organism in Eukaryota, Viridiplantae, Streptophyta, Magnoliopsida, Cucurbitales, Cucurbitaceae. The transcript is spliced from 4 exons.